CUUACUUGCUUUGCUUGUUUCAGUUCCAUAUGCUUUGUCUCCAAAUUGUGAACACAUCUUGAUUUCUACCAUUAUGUAAUUCUAAAUCAUUGCUGUACUCUAGUUUGUACAUGAAAAUUCACCCAUCUGCAGAUAGCUGCCUUUGUGAGAGCAAAACAUAAAGCUGUCUGAACCAUCUGGAUUGGUAAACUUCAGGCUUCGCCUUUGGACUUGGCAGCCCUCCUAGCAGAGCACUCAUCGCUUGUAUACUCCUCACAGAAAAGGCCAUUCUACACUGGAAGGCCUGCAGAUCCUGGAUUUGCCCCUGGUACAUGCAUGCAGAUGUAUGAAAGCCAAGGUCAGUCUUCUGAAGACUCACAAUCUAGUAGGAUGGACAGACAAGGAAAGAGACAGUUCAUUGUAUCGUGACAAGUCCUCAAAGGUGGCUUCAUCUGACCAGUUGGGGGAAAAUGGAUCCCAACAUCACAUAUGUCCGUGUGUGUUUUUUCGACACCAAAUGUAUGAUCUUUUCCAACAACAAAUACAUUGUCCAAAACCAAUUCAUC
Long non-coding RNA from Heterocephalus glaber (naked mole-rat), 545 nucleotides. The record is from Ensembl. Lineage: Eukaryota; Metazoa; Chordata; Mammalia; Rodentia; Bathyergidae.